AUGGGCGAGCCUGAUCCAGCCAUGCCGCGUGUGUGAAGAAGGUCUUCGGAUUGUAAAGCACUUUAAGUUGGGAGGAAGGGUUGUAGAUUAAUACUCUGCAAUUUUGACGUUACCGACAGAAUAAGCACCGGCUAACUCUGUGCCAGCAGCCGCGGUAAUA
This 160-nucleotide ribosomal RNA is filed under the name uncultured bacterium. Its description in RNAcentral is "partial 16S ribosomal RNA". It matches the Rfam family "Bacterial small subunit ribosomal RNA", at positions 371 to 525 of the family's 1533-position model. The record is from RNAcentral.